ACUCCCUCUCUCUCUCUAAAGCUAUUUUCCUCUCUCUCUCUUCAAAGGUAGAAAUAGGAGAGGCAUUGGUAGAGAAGCAAGCAAGGAAGUGAAGCAUCACCUUCUUCAUCAUCUUCCUUGGGUUGGAGCUAGCUUAUUGAGGUUUUCCGACGCGUUGGCGAAGUCAGUUCGGCGAUCCGUCGAGCCGGCGUAAAGAUAUUGGCAAAAAAGGACGUUGUAGCUUCGUUUUCGCCUGGAGGGCCGAGGCGGCGGCCUAAAAUCGCGGAAUCAAGUUUCUAGCAUCGUGAUAUCACUAAGAGACCUAGUGGAGAGAUCGGCGGAGUCGGCGGUCGAACCCACUGGGAACUAUGGACAAUAGUUCUCACCCCACUUUGUUGCAGGGCCGAGUUCGAGCACUCCGGACGAGGACCGCGGGAAGGGCAUAGCGCCCUAGUAGUUAGUAGCUUUUCCAUAUCUGUAUUAGAGUACCCUCGUGUAUAUAGGUGAUGUUCAUAUUAUGAGGAUUUUGGAGAGCUACUCUUGUAUAUAGAUGAUGAACUUGUAUGUAUCAUUUUGGGAGAUGGAAAUGUAAUUAAAAUUGUGAAUGGUUGAAUGAUAAUGUAAUAGCUAGA
Long non-coding RNA from Ananas comosus (pineapple), 611 nucleotides. RefSeq lists it as uncharacterized. The record is from RefSeq and is a predicted model, not a curated record. The transcript has 3 exons. Lineage: Eukaryota; Viridiplantae; Streptophyta; Magnoliopsida; Poales; Bromeliaceae.